GAUGAACGCUAGCUACAGGCUUAACACAUGCAAGUCGAGGGGAAACGACAUCGAAAGCUUGCUUUUGAUGGGCGUCGACCGGCGCACGGGUGAGUAACGCGUAUCCAACCUGCCCAUCACUUGGGGAUAACCUUGCGAAAGUAAGACUAAUACCCAAUGAUAUCUCUAGAAGACAUCUGAAAGAGAUUAAAGAUUUAUCGGUGAUGGAUGGGGAUGCGUCUGAUUAGCUUGUUGGCGGGGUAACGGCCCACAAAGGCGACAAUCAGUAGGCGUUAUGAAAGGAAGGUCCCCCACAUUGGAAAUGAGACACGGUCCAAACGCCUACGGGAGGCAGCAGUGAGGAAUAUUGGUCAAUGGGCGAGAGCCUGAACCAGCCAAGUAGCGUGCAGGAAGACGGCCCUAUGGGUUGUAAACUGCUUUUAUAAGGGAAUAAAGUGAGUCUCGUGAGACUUUUUGCAUGUACCUUAUGAAUAAGGACCGGAUAAUUCCGUGCCAGCCGCCGCUGUAA
This 508-nucleotide ribosomal RNA is filed under the name uncultured bacterium. RNAcentral's name for it is "partial 16S ribosomal RNA". It matches the Rfam family "Bacterial small subunit ribosomal RNA", at positions 28 to 523 of the family's 1533-position model. The record is from RNAcentral.